UGAGAGAGUGAACGGCCACAUUUGGACUGAGACACGGCCCAAACUCCUACGGGAGGCAGCAGUGGGGAAUAUUGCACAAUGGGGAAACCCUGAUGCAGCGACGCCGCGUGAAGGAAGAAGUAUUUCGGUAUGUAAACUUCUAUCAGCAGGGAAGAUAAUGACGUACCUGACUAAGAAGCUCCCGCUAAAUACGUGCCAGCAGCCGC
RNAcentral lists this ribosomal RNA (206 nucleotides) under uncultured Clostridiaceae bacterium. Its description in RNAcentral is "partial 16S ribosomal RNA". It matches the Rfam family "Bacterial small subunit ribosomal RNA", at positions 293 to 518 of the family's 1533-position model. Lineage: Bacteria; Bacillati; Bacillota; Clostridia; Eubacteriales; Clostridiaceae. The record is from RNAcentral.